GGGCUCGUGGUGUAGCUGGCCUAACAUGCCUCCCUGUCACGGAGGAGAUCGCGGGUUCGAAUCCCGUCGAGCCCG
This 75-nucleotide transfer RNA is filed under the name Candidatus Jacksonbacteria bacterium RIFCSPLOWO2_01_FULL_44_13. RNAcentral describes it as "tRNA-Asp". It matches the Rfam family "tRNA". From Rfam's summary of the family: Transfer RNA (tRNA) molecules are approximately 80 nucleotides in length. Their secondary structure includes four short double-helical elements and three loops (D, anti-codon, and T loops). Further hydrogen bonds mediate the characteristic L-shaped molecular structure. tRNAs have two regions of fundamental functional importance: the anti-codon, which is responsible for specific mRNA codon recognition, and the 3' end, to which the tRNAs corresponding amino acid is attached (by aminoacyl-tRNA synthetases). tRNAs cope with the degeneracy of the genetic code in two manners: having more than one tRNA (with a specific anti-codon) for a particular amino acid; and 'wobble' base-pairing, i.e. permitting non-standard base-pairing at the 3rd anti-codon position. RNAcentral also lists the same sequence under 3 other names. Lineage: Bacteria; Candidatus Jacksoniibacteriota. The record is from RNAcentral.